This 398-nucleotide long non-coding RNA is filed under the name Musa acuminata (dwarf banana). Its description in RNAcentral is "long non-coding RNA (MACU_LNC005466)". The record is from RNAcentral. Lineage: Eukaryota; Viridiplantae; Streptophyta; Magnoliopsida; Zingiberales; Musaceae.
UAGGAGCAACAAUAAUUAGGAAAUAACCAUAUGAUUAGCUGUGGAAUACCACCUACGGGUUCAUCGCGAUAGCUGCUUGUGAAAAAGAUGAACAUCAUACAAGGCUAGGUAUAGUUUGAGAUAUUUCAAUAAGUAUAAUAGGUAAAACAAUAGAAUAAGCUCUAUUUUUCAUCGCGAUAGCUGCUUGUGAAAAAGAUGAACAUCAUACAAGGCUAGGUAUAGUUUGAGAUAUUUCAAUAAGUAUAAUAGGUAAAACAAUAGAAUAAGCUUUAUUUUUCUGCAAGGGUUCAAUGAAAAUUCAUUAUAUGAACUGAGAUCAGAAUGUGCUUAAAUAGUAGAAAGGUAGACCUUGGUGACUGCCAUUAUCAAUGUCCUCGAGGUGUGUCUCCAGCUUCAGG